GGGGCAUUGGCGCAGUUGGUAGCGCGCUUACAUGGCAUGGAAGAGGUCAGGGGUUCGAAUCCCCUAUGCUCCA
RNAcentral lists this transfer RNA (73 nucleotides) under Cutibacterium avidum. Its description in RNAcentral is "tRNA-Ala". It matches the Rfam family "tRNA". Rfam says of the family: Transfer RNA (tRNA) molecules are approximately 80 nucleotides in length. Their secondary structure includes four short double-helical elements and three loops (D, anti-codon, and T loops). Lineage: Bacteria; Bacillati; Actinomycetota; Actinomycetes; Propionibacteriales; Propionibacteriaceae. The record is from RNAcentral.